GGAAAAGUCUCCGAAUUGGGCCGAGAUUUUGCCUACCCCCCCAUUGUCAGACGUCCCGAGCGCGUCCCCGAGGUCGGAAUCGGCAAAGGUGAGCCGGGACAGCCUUCUUCCUCCGCCCAGCCGCCACAGUAAUUUGUCGUCAAGUCUGCCACAGGAGGAUAUUUUAUUCUGGGUUAACCUGCUUUUAUCCUUCGCAGGUUGUUUAUCCAUGUUUGUGUAAUUUUAAUUACUCCUAGAAUUUC
Molecule: long non-coding RNA, 242 nt
Organism: Hevea brasiliensis (rubber tree)
Lineage: Eukaryota; Viridiplantae; Streptophyta; Magnoliopsida; Malpighiales; Euphorbiaceae
Exons: 3
Source: RefSeq, a predicted model, not a curated record